CCAGAUGGCCAGGUGACCGCUGCCGGUGCAAGCCGGGAGAGGAAAGUCCGGGCUCCACGGAAACACGGUGCCGGGUAAUCCCCGGCGGGGGCGACCCCAGGGAAAGUGCCACAGAGAGCUGAACCGCCGUUUUGCUGCGGCAAAACGGUAAGGGUGAAAAGGUGCGGUAAGAGCGCACCGCGCGACCGGCAACGGAAGCGGCAGGGCAAACCCCACCGGGAGCAAGGCCAAAUAGGGGCGGUACGCUGGGCAACCAGCACUCGGCGUUUCCGGGAGCGCCGCCCGGGUCGGCUGCUAAAGAUGCCAGGUAACUGGCAUCGUAGAGGAAUGGUCACCCAGCGCCCGCAAGGGCGUGGACAGAACCCGGCUUACAGGCCAUCUGGUUUU
RNAcentral lists this RNase P RNA (387 nucleotides) under Alphaproteobacteria bacterium. Its description in RNAcentral is "RNase P RNA component class A". It matches the Rfam family "Bacterial RNase P class A". Rfam says of the family: Ribonuclease P (RNase P) is a ubiquitous endoribonuclease, found in archaea, bacteria and eukarya as well as chloroplasts and mitochondria. Its best characterised activity is the generation of mature 5'-ends of tRNAs by cleaving the 5'-leader elements of precursor-tRNAs. Cellular RNase Ps are ribonucleoproteins. Lineage: Bacteria; Pseudomonadati; Pseudomonadota; Alphaproteobacteria. The record is from RNAcentral.